Lacerta agilis (Sand lizard) is the source of this 102-nucleotide small nuclear RNA. Lineage: Eukaryota; Metazoa; Chordata; Lepidosauria; Squamata; Lacertidae. The record is from RefSeq and is a predicted model, not a curated record.
GUAUUUAUAAACAUCACAUAUUCUAAAAUUGGAACGAUACAGAGAUUAGCACGGCCCCUGUGCGAGGAGGUCACGCAAAUUCACGAAGCAUUCCAUAUUUUU